RNAcentral lists this ribosomal RNA (493 nucleotides) under uncultured bacterium. RNAcentral's name for it is "partial 16S ribosomal RNA". It matches the Rfam family "Bacterial small subunit ribosomal RNA", at positions 29 to 507 of the family's 1533-position model. The record is from RNAcentral.
ACGAACGCUGGCGGCGUGCUUAACACAUGCAAGUCGAACGGUGAAGCGCCUUCCUUUUUGGUGUGUGUGGAUGAGUGGCGAACGGGUGAGUAACACGUGAGUAACCUGCCCCCUUCUUCUGGAUAACCGCAUGAAAGUGUGGCUAAUACGGGAUAUUCUGGCUCUGUCGCAUGAUGGGUCUGGGAAAGAUAUUGUUUCGGUGGGGGAUGGGCUCGCGGCCUAUCAGCUUGUUGGUGGGGUGAUGGCCUACCAAGGCGGUGCCGGGUAGCCGGCCUGAGAGGGUGGCCGGCCUGAGUGGGACAGAGGCACGGUCGGGACUGCGACGGGAGGCAGCAGUGUGGGGUAGUGCACAGUGGGGGCAAGUGUGAUGCAGCGACGCCGCGUGAGGGGUGGAGGCCUGCGGGUUGUGAACGUCUUUCGCCAGUGAAGCAGGCCUGCCUGGUUUGUGGGUGGGUUGACGGUAGCUGGAUAAGAAGCGCCGGCUAACUACGUG